This 254-nucleotide ribosomal RNA is filed under the name uncultured bacterium. RNAcentral describes it as "partial 16S ribosomal RNA". It matches the Rfam family "Bacterial small subunit ribosomal RNA", at positions 524 to 776 of the family's 1533-position model. The record is from RNAcentral.
UACGGAGGGGGCGAGCGUUGUCCGGAUUCAUUGGGCGUAAAGCGCUUUAAGGCGGUUCUCUAAGUCGGGUGUGUAACCUCCAAGCUCAACCUGGAGACGCCACUCGAUACUGGCGUGACUAGAGUUCGGUAGGGGACCACGGAAUUCCUGGUGUAGCGGUGAAAUGCGCAGAUAUCAGGAGGAACACCAGUGGCGAAGGCGGUGGUCUGGGCCGAUACUGACGCUGUAGAGCGAAAGCGUGGGGAGCGAACAGG